GGGGGCAUAGCUCAGUUGGUAGAGUUCCUGCUUUAGCAUGAACAAGGAUCUGGGUUCAAUCCCCAGCACCACCA
Molecule: transfer RNA, 74 nt
Filed under: Ictidomys tridecemlineatus (thirteen-lined ground squirrel)
Lineage: Eukaryota; Metazoa; Chordata; Mammalia; Rodentia; Sciuridae
Description: Spermophilus tridecemlineatus (thirteen-lined ground squirrel) tRNA
Rfam family: tRNA
About the family: Transfer RNA (tRNA) molecules are approximately 80 nucleotides in length. Their secondary structure includes four short double-helical elements and three loops (D, anti-codon, and T loops).
Source: Rfam by way of RNAcentral